This 7661-nucleotide long non-coding RNA is filed under the name Zea mays. RNAcentral's name for it is "long non-coding RNA (ZMAY_LNC002453)". The record is from RNAcentral. Lineage: Eukaryota; Viridiplantae; Streptophyta; Magnoliopsida; Poales; Poaceae.
CUUAGCCCUGCUUAGAUCUUGUGGAUAGAGGUUGUCCUUAGCCUAGCUCGAGAAAGGAUGGCUUCUAUCUGCAAGAAUAUUUUCAUUGAGAGCGUGGUGGGAUCUUACUGCAAAGUUCCCUUUGAUGCUCUUUUCAUCCUAAGGAAUACAAACAAUCCUAAGGGUGGAAGUACUUAAAUCGGGACAUGGGCUAGGAGCAGGUGAUGCUCCGCCCGGGUCAAUUAAGGAUUGGAUGCGUAUGUAGGCCUGAUAGAUCAAGGACUAUCUUAACUGGCCACAUGCCCUGGAAAUGGGACAGGGUAAGCUUGAACCCGGCUAUUCCAUACGUGAAAAGACAACCGCGCACUGGGCGUGGGAGAUGGUGGGAGUAGCGUGUGCCCUCCUAGCUAGAGGCUGGAUGGAGGAGUACUGUGCUCCCGGGUAGCGCGGACCGGUUCACGUUGUGGAGGAUCUGUGGGAAUGGUUGACAUUUGCAAGGGUUAAGUGCUACAUAUGUCGUGUGGUUAGAGAUCCUCAGCUGAGUAAAUCGAUUCGGAUCGCCGUUAUAUCCCCGGAGAGUGGAGACUUGAUCACUGACCUGCAACCUAAGUCAGGAUGUGAACCUCAUGAAUAAAAAUGAUGUUUUAUUGAUGAGAUGGUGAAAUUAGACCAGAUGCAAACAGAGUCUAUUAAUAUCUAAUCUGGCGUUAAAAUAUUGAAAAUAAGGACUCACUUUAGUAAGCUAUUUCUGCAAAAGUAUCUAAGUUGAUUUUUGAUAAAGCCUCUCCUUGAUUCACAAAUCCAGCAUACCCUUGAGAGUCUUUUCCUUAGUCGGGUAAGACUUGCUGAGUAAUUCCAUACUCAGGGUUUUAUUCCCUAUUGUUUUUCAGGUUCUAACCUUGUGCUGUUGUGAUGGUGUUAAGUGCCGGUGGGCUCGGCCUUCUUAUAAGUUUAAGUAACUCCCUUAUACUUCUUAUUGAGGAUGGUCACUUGAGCUAGCAUAUAUUUCAAACUUAUACUUUUGUAAUCACUCCGAUAAAAUAAUGUAAAAUUUUUGUAACCUGUAAAAUUUGGUAAUAAGAUUUCCGCUUUAAAAAUGUUGUGUGUGUGCUUUAUGUUACUUAAUCCCGCGAUUCUGGUUGAAAGUGGUUUAUCCGAUGUCCUUGGGGCAAUCGGACAGAUCCUGUUGAGUUAUCUGGUGCACAUGCAUGGUCGUCUGAGGUCUUUGGGACAAGGACAGGUGCAUGUGGGCCCAAUAACUUGGAGGUUCUGCCACAGCUGGUAUCGGAGCAGGAUUAAGUAUCUACGGUCACAUACGUAUUUUCAAAACAAAAGUUUUGGUUUUGAAAAACCUAUUUUCAACUAAACACAUUGUUUGGUUUUGAAAAACUAUAAUGCUAGCGACAUCCUCUAUUAAGCCCUAAGUUAAGGACUAUCAGGUGGCUUAUUCAAAACACUAACCCACAACCGGGUGGAUAUUGCAUACAUGUGUAUUGUUAUUUUUGAGGCCAUUCAGUAUUGAAUGGAUCGACGCUAAGGUAAGGUGAGAUGUGAGAGCAUGACCGAACAAUCGUCGGUCUAGGGAAGAGUGUAAAAAGCGCUUGAUUAUAUACAUGUUCCACAUAUGUAUAUAUGAAGGCUGCGAUGUGGAGUAAUUACUUUUCUGGGAUUCAGUACCCCAUGGAUGUGUAUGGGUAUACAGACAUGGGAAUACUGAGAAGUGUAAUGUACUUGCAACGACGCACCUACGCUCAGGUAAGAAGGUAAGUUACCAUAAUGAGCUGCCCUAUGGUUAAAAGUGUGGCAGCGGCGCCUAUGCGUGGCUCGGCGCUUAAUGAUGAGCUGGCCUCCGUAUAGCAAUAUAUGGAGUAUAAACUGUGAUAAACUGUCAUGUGUGAACUGCAUCAUUGGGAAAUUGGGCUAUGAUGGAUUUUUCUGCAGGUACACUAACUUCAAAAACGUAUGUGUAGUUGACGACUAGCAAAAUACUGUGAGAGUCGUAAGUAUGCCACCGAUAUAGAACGUUAUUGCCACAUUUGGUUGGCAAAAUCAGUGAGGACGUGUAAGACGAGCAUGCAUCCUGAUUGUUGCAUCAUGUUUGUCACCUAUACACCCAAGAUGCUUCUCUCAUCUUUAUUCCAGUAACCAUUGAUUGUAGAUAAUAUGGUGUAAUGCUGAAUUAUGAACUUCGAUGAAAUAGGUGUCCUCCAUUCUUUAGGUAACCUAUUCAGGUCUUAUAUGGUGUUUGCUCUCGUGCUUGAUGUGCUGAUAGAAGGUUGGUAGUUUGGUUGCUUAAACCCAAAAUUAGGCCAUGUUCUUAUUUAGUGAACCAUGCCCCCAGAGUUGAAUUCUCCAUUAUCACUCCAUGACUAAACCCAUGCAAAUAAAUGCGUAGAUAAUUUCUUUGUUGGACAUAAAUUGUGCCUAGGCUUAAACAAGAAUCUCGAGUCAUGCUUCCUUCUAAAACCAUUCCCUUGUUUAUUGGUGCAAGCUGAUGUACCUUAACCAGUUCGCCUGUUCUUAAGGAUCGCCAUGUUGAAUUAUCAACCCAACCUAGGAAAAGUAUGUCCGACCAUUUUCUUGAAUUUGAUGCCUUUGGUUUCCCCAUACCUAUCGAAGGCAUACCAACUUAAUCUUAUGAUUGUUUCCCCUCUGUAUCUAAUCAGAUACUAAUCCUUGACCCUUGUACUCUCUGCGAUGGGCAUAGAGAUAUGCUUGGGGCUGAACUUGCAGUCUCCCAUCGUACUCCCUCACCACCCAGUUUAGGUUAUGGCCAUGUCUUGUUCAUUUCAUCGGGCCAUGAUCUAUUUGGCUCUCUACUUAUAACUAUUCAUACAGGUGGAGUAUCUCUUUGUAUAUUAUCACCCUUGCCCAGUCUAAUUGUGUUGUGCGAGAUUUCUUAUUGGUUUUGUCUGGUAAUGGUGUUAUGACUAAAACCGGUGGUGCCGUGACGAAACCGAGGGCCUUCUGUGUGUGCGCACACAUGGUCGUGCUGCUCGGCACGCGCUAGUAUCACUGUUAGUAGUUGUAAUCCAUUAUGAGACUAUAUCAAUGUGUUAUCUUGGCACAAUCUGUUUUUGCUACGUGAGAUUGUUAUUGGUGCCAGUUCGGUAGUGGUGUCACGAUUAAGGACUUAUGGUGCCGCUGCGAAACUGAGAGCCUCCUGUGAAUGCGCACACAGGAUUUUGCUGCUUGGCGCAUGCCGGUAUCGAGGUUUCUAGUCAUGAUCCAUUAUGGAACUACAUUGAUAUAUUAUCUUCCAUGGAUCCUUCCUUGGAACAAUUUCGGUGUUGUUUGUCGAAGUGACCAAGCAACAUCUAUCAUGACUGUUGGAUCAAAACGGGCAUACCCCUUACAUGUGUGGUCUCUUUUCCCUUGACUUUGAUAGCGACUGCACGCAUACACAUUCCCUUCACAUCCUUUGUGUAAAGGUGAAGCCUUGGAGCUUUUUAGUGUCGAGGGACAACUGAUUAGCUCUCAAAAUAGAGAUUUGGCUUUCCCUGCCACUAAGAUGCAGGAGUUUGUUCAUUCGCUCUCUUAAUUAAUCCAUGUAUUCCCGAACCAAGUCAUUUCAUCUCCCAUGGAAGAAACGGAUGAACAACGUGACCAAAUGGAUUUCUACCCAAGUGCAUGAUUUCCUGUUAGUAAAUGUGAACUCUCAACCCUUGGAUUCCCAAUGGUACUGAGAGGACUUGCCCAAUGUCAAAAGUAGUUCAACAAGUUGGUUUUGACCAACUUGUAACUGCACUUGAAACAAAGAUUGAGUUUAGAGAUCGUUUUAUCGAUUUGCCUGAACUCACUUUGGUCUAACCCACUCUAAAGAAAGUACUCACAAAAGUUAAGUUAAGUCGACCAGUAACCACCUAAUCAUCGCUCUAGUCAUGCCUCGAUCGCCUCGUGUGUGUUUUUCCAGCAUGGGUGAUCAAGUCGAGCCAUGGUUAGUGCUGGAUUCAAUGGGCUGGUUGUAAAGUCCGUAUCUACAGAUCCCUUUGCGGGUGAUUCUCUCGAAUCUAUCUCACCUUCUGGGAGUUAGAUUUUCUAGCGGGACACGAGUUAACUGUGAUGUUGUUCGACAUUCACACCCGUCUCGUGUGCUAUGAACUUAUCGCGACCACUUGUUGGUAAACCUCCUUCUGUGUGUUUUACCCAAGAUGGUGCAUCUAGUUCUAUUUGGGUAAAAUUGCAUAUCUGGCGCUUUCUCAACAAACUCAGAUAGUACAAUGUCAUCAGAAAAAGCAAACUGCACACAUGGAACCUUAUGUGUUCCUCUGGCAGACAUGGUCUCUAUUGAUGGACAUUCUAAAUUAGCCUAAGGCGAUUCAUGCUAUGUCCACUAGAGAAGCAACAUUCUGAAACACUUGUCUUCGCUCAGAACUGCCUUAUGAUUACCGCUGAUAUGGACGUGGGUUACAUGUUUCUCUACUCUUGAAAGUCUUUCGCUCCGAAUCUCGGGACGAGAUUCUUUUAAGGGGGGAGGGCUGUAACACCCCAGGUGUUUAUAUUCCUCUCGACAACGAGUACGGAUUUAAGCACGCAAAAUCAGUGGAUAAAACGGAUGCGAAAUUUUAAUAAUCUUCGCCUAUCGCGAUUUUAAUAUCGCAUAUUUGCCGUCUGUCGUGAGUGCGACAUAGUUUUUAUUUUCAUCUAUUCGGGCUCGUCCUAAAUUUUCGUGCUGUUCGGAACAUAUUUGUUCUGAAUAUCGGUGCGUCCGAUGAUUAAUUAAAAUUCAUCGCUCGCGCGAAUCCGAAUUCGGAAGCCCGACCACUCGGAUACUUUUAUCCCGAACAAAUUAAAUAGAACCUGACGACUAAGUUUCCGGUGAAAAAUAAAGUAGUCCCCUUUUUGUCAUCCGUAACAUCACAUCUACGGAUGUUUAAUUAAAUUGUUCUUUAGUCGAAUAUUCAGGUAGCGGUGAAAUUCGUUUAAGUUCAACUAAAUCGAAUGUCUAUUAAAACAUCGAAUCUGAUAUCGUUUAGUUUGAUCCGUUAACAGCAGGCUGUUUAAAUAAAAUAAACCUGAACUAACCAAAACCAUAGCAAUUGUUAGCAGAUUUGGUGUCCUAUUUUAAAGUCCAAGAAAAUAAUAUGUGUAACCGAAAUGUCGAUUUAAUUCGGUCUAAUUGCUUCUCGCUUAGAUAUACAUCUUCAGAUAAAAAUACAUUCCGAUAAAAAUAACUGAUAAAAAUUUAUCUGAACUCUAGAGUAUCCGCUAAAUCAAAUUCUAUCCAAAUUUGGUAUUUAAUACUGUUCUGAUCCAACUGGUUGGGUAGCGAGUGAAUAUUUGUUUGGUUCCAGAUUAAUUAAACACAAUCUAAAGCUUACCAUGGAGAACGUUAGUGUUAAGAAAAAAAUAAAAAUAUCCCCAAUCGUUCUAAUCUCCAGCCGAGUGGGCAGCUCUAUCCUCCCGCCGCCGGUACCAGAUUUUUCCAGCCACGAUCUUUGUCCCUGCGCCGCUCUGUGUGCCUGAGGAGAUAUUUCAGCGCCCAGCCUUAUCGCGCUGCUGCCCCUGCUCAAGAUUUUUUCGAUGCCGCUGUCUUUUUCUACUCCCAGCCGAAAUCUCCUUCUCCCUGGUCAUUUCCUCGCGUUGCAUCCUGCUUCCUGUUCUGCGCGCCGGUGGUCUCGAGCUCCCAUGGCGCUCGGACUUCUGCUCGGGUUCAGGAUCUUUGCGCGCGAGCCUCUGCGCGCCCUGUCUCUCCCUUCGCGCGCGCUGCUCCCUGUUGGCCCGCGCAGUUUCCCGGUUGCCGCGCCCGGAUUUCUUCCUCGGUGCCCAGCUUGGAUUUUUGCUUAGUCGCCUGCUAUUUCCUAGUGCCGUGGUCUCGCUCGGACGCGUCCUGUCAAGGUUAUUCCUACACGUGUGUCCUGGUACCCCUGCUCGCUGUUGGGCCGACCGUGGGCAGCUUCCCGGCCUCUGUCGCACUCGGCAGCAAGUAAUUCAUGUCAGAGCAGCUACUGCGACGCCUUCCCUUGCAUCGUGUUCGUCAGAUCGAGUCUCGCGUCGUCGAUCUGUGCAGUUUCUGUUCGGCUAUCGGUUUCACCGGUCGUCGAUUUCUUAUUCGCCAUGGCUGUCCCUAUCCGAACUUGUCAGCUCACCGACUGACCGUCGUGUUCCUUGUUUUCCUUCGUCGGCCGACCCCACCGCGACUUAGUUCGUUCGUCGUGCUGGUCGCUGUCUCAUACUGUGCCUAUUAGCUCGGAUCCUGCCCCAGCUAGUCGUUACGUCAUUCACAGUCGAGUCGUCGAACCCGUCAUCCGCUGCUCAAACCCCACCUCACCAACUUGCUCCAAACACGAUCUCGUCGUUGUCCCGCGCGUCAUAAGAAUCCCAAGAAUCAGAUGAAGACGAAGCUAGCAGCGCGAUAUUUCCCAAGCGCUCGACAAAUUGCUUGGAUCGGAAAAUCGCUACCGAUCUUGUGGCUUCGAGUCAGCUGCUGAAACGGUAAGCUGAUAAAUUAUUCAGAAUAGUUUGAUCGUUGAAUAAAUUAAUGUGCUAGUGCGAUACUCAUUAAGGUGCUCGAUAAAUUGCGCAAGUCACGAAACUCUCGUCGACUUCGCAGUUCUUGCGAUUAUCGAGCCAGAUUCAGUUAUAGCGAGUUAUUUCGCUAUUCCGGUCACUUAGCUGAAUUAGUGGACCGAAUAGAAUUUUGGUAGGCAUGCGUGAUGAUAAAAUAUUUUAAUCACUUAUAAAGAUGUAGUAUAAUUUAUAAGGUAAGGGAUUAGUUCAGAAUUAAAUUUGUUAACUGAUAAGUUGUGGUUAGGCUAAUUAUGUUAAGUAUGUAUUGUUUGUGUUUCGUAAUGUUCGCGUUAGAUUCGGUUAGUUUAGAGAAGCGUAAUUAUUGCGCGUAGUCGUCUGUCGAUAACUAGUAUUUUCUUAUAAAAUUGUACAACGCCUCGCCACUAGGUGUUUAAUUCGCUAUCGCGUAGUACUAUUUAGGUUUGAAAUAUUCCUGUCUAUAUGCAUUCAUGUGCAUAAUGCAUUUCAUUCAGGUACGUUAAUUAAUCACGUGAUGCGGAAGACAAGCCAAGUCGACCCCAAGCGCGGGCUAACCCGCAGGAUGAUGUAGAUGGAUAACCCGAUCAAGUACCAAGACAAAGGCUGCUCGUCAAGCGAACGUCGUCUAACAACACUAACCUAGUGUUACUCAGGCAAGCCCCGGUGCAUGCAACCCCUUCUUUGUGUUUUUAAAUAGUUUUUGCACACUUUAAGUCUAGUGAAAUGUGCAUUAGGUUUAUAGGAGUUGCUUGGAAACCCUUUGAUGCAUUGCCUUCCUUGAUAUCCAUACCUUUAUAGAUACUUCUGGUGAAGUAUCAAAAUAUGAUUUACAAAAAUGCUUAGCCCUGCUUAGAUCUUGUGGAUAGAGGUUGUCCUUAGCCUAGCUCGAGAAAGGAUGGCUUCUAUCUGCAAGAAUAUUUUCAUUGAGAGCGUGGUGGGAUCUACUGCAAAGUUCCCUUUGAUGCUCUUUUCAUCCUAAGGAAUACAAACAAUCCUAAGGGUGGAAGUACUUAAAUCGAGACUUGGGCUAGGAGCAGGUGAUGCUCCGCCCGGGUCAAUUAAGGAUUGGAUGCGUAUGUAGGCCUGAUAGAUCAAGGACUAUCUUAACUGGCCACAUGCCCUGGAAAUGGGACAGGGUAAGCUUGAACCCGGCUAUUCCAUACGUGAAAAGACAACCGCGCACUGGGCGUGGG